This 394-nucleotide ribosomal RNA is filed under the name uncultured bacterium. RNAcentral describes it as "partial 16S ribosomal RNA". It matches the Rfam family "Bacterial small subunit ribosomal RNA", at positions 523 to 918 of the family's 1533-position model. The record is from RNAcentral.
AUACGGAGGAUGCAAGCGUUAUCCGGAUUUAUUGGGUUUAAAGGGUGCGUAGGCGGAUGAUUAAGCGUGAGGUGAAAUGCCACUGCUCAACAGUGGAACUGCCUCGCGAACUGGUUGUCUUGAAUGCUCCUGCCGUGGGAGGAAUGUGUGGUGUAGCGGUGAAAUGCAUAGAGAUCACACAGAACACCGAUUGCGAAGGCAUCUCACGAAGGGGUGAUUGACGCUGAGGCAGGAAAGCGUGGGGAUCAAACAGGAUUAGAUACCCUGGUAGUCCACGCAGUAAACGAUGAUAACUAACCGCUGGGUCGUAGUGAUUCAGUGGCCAAGCGAAAGCGAUAAGUUAUCCACCUGGGGAGUACGACCGCAAGGUUGAAACUCAAAUGAAUUGACGGGG